RNAcentral lists this transfer RNA (71 nucleotides) under Phymatostetha stalii. RNAcentral describes it as "tRNA-Met". RNAcentral also lists the same sequence under 1 other name. Lineage: Eukaryota; Metazoa; Arthropoda; Insecta; Hemiptera; Cercopidae. The record is from RNAcentral.
AAAAAGAUAAGCUAAUUAUUAAGCUAAUGGGUUCAUACCUCAUUUAUAGAAGUUAAGCCUUCUUCUUUUUA